AGAGGGUGCAAGCGUUAAUCGGAAUGACUGGGCGUAAAGGGCGCGUAGGCGGAUAAUUGAGUUAGAUGUGAAAUACCAGGGCUCAACCUUGGGAAGUCAUUUAAUACUGGUUGUCUAGAGUAGAGUAGAGGGGAGUGGAAUUUCCGGUGUAGCGGUGAAAUGCGUAGAUAUCGGAAAGAACAUCAGUGGCGAAGGCGACUCUCUGGGCUCAUACUGACGCUGAGGCGCGAAAGCGUGGGGUAUCGAACAGGAUUAGAUACCCUGGUAGUCCACGCUGUAAACGAUGAAGACUAGAUGUUGGUGGGUAAAACCCUAUCAGUAUCGGAGCUAACGCAUUAAGUCUUCCGCCUGGGAGUACGGCCGCAAGGUUA
This 371-nucleotide ribosomal RNA is filed under the name uncultured organism. RNAcentral's name for it is "partial 16S ribosomal RNA". It matches the Rfam family "Bacterial small subunit ribosomal RNA", at positions 527 to 896 of the family's 1533-position model. The record is from RNAcentral.